Molecule: ribosomal RNA, 430 nt
Filed under: Pseudomonadota bacterium
Lineage: Bacteria; Pseudomonadati; Pseudomonadota
Description: Proteobacteria bacterium partial 16S ribosomal RNA
Rfam family: Bacterial small subunit ribosomal RNA
Source: RNAcentral
UGGGGAAUAUUGGACAAUGGGCGAAAGCCUGAUCCAGCCAUGCCGCGUGUGUGAAGAAGGCCUUAUGGUUGUAAAGCACUUUAAGCGAGGAGGAGGGUACUGGUAUUAAUACUACCAGGUACUGGACGUUACUCGCAGAAUAAGCACCGGCUAACUCUGUGCCAGCAGCCGCGGUAAUACAGAGGGUGCGAGCGUUAAUCGGAUUUACUGGGCGUAAAGCGUGCGUAGGCGGCUAAUUGAGUCGGAUGUGAAAUCCCCGAGCUUAACUUGGGAAUUGCAUUCGAUGCUGGUUAGCUAGAGUGUGGGAGAGGAUGGUAGAAUUCCAGGUGUAGCGGUGAAAUGCGUAGAGAUCUGGAGGAAUACCGAUGGCGAAGGCAGCCAUCUGGCCUAACACUGACGCUGAGGUACGAAAGCAUGGGGAGCAAACAGG